Molecule: long non-coding RNA, 20890 nt
Filed under: Lynx pardinus (Iberian lynx)
Lineage: Eukaryota; Metazoa; Chordata; Mammalia; Carnivora; Felidae
Source: RNAcentral
CUUCCAGAGACCCUCCCCGCACCCUCCCUCUGGGCUGAGCCAGGCUCUGUGGUCCCUUGGGGUAGCACUGUGACCAUCUGGUGUCAGGGAAUCCUGGAGGCCCACGAGUUCCAUCUGGAUAAAGACGGACACCCAGUGCCCUGGGACAGACAGAAGCCACUGGAGCCUGGGAACAAAGCCAAGUUCUCCAUCAGAUACAUGACAGACAGACAUGCAGGCCGAUAUCACUGUUCCUGUCAAAGCCCCACUGGCUCCUCAAAGGGCAGUGACCCCCUGGAGCUGGUGGUGACAGGUGCGAGCCCCCUCAGGGUCCCCGCCCCAGGCUCUGCCCUCGGGGAGGGGGUCUGCUCCCAGAGCAUCUCCCUCUCACAGUCCAGCCCUGGGGAUACUGUGGGGGGAUCUGGGUCCUAUUUAAUGUGUCCCUUCCUCCUCUCCUAGGUUUCCAUGGCGAAACCACUCUCUCAGCCCUGCCCAACCCCAUGGUGACCUCAGGAGGGAAGGUGACCCUCCAGUGCACCUCAUGGACGGCAUUCCAUAGGUUCGUCCUGAUGAAGGAAGGAGAACCCAGACCCGUCUGGACCCUGGACUCUCAGAAACCCACCAGUGGACAGUUCCAGGCCCUGUUUCUUGUGGGCCCUGUGACCCCCAGCGCCAGGUGGACGUUCAGAUGCCAUGGCUAUUUCAACAACACUCCCCAGUUGUGGUCAUACCCCAGUGACCCCCUAGAACUGCUGGUCUCAGGUGAGGGAGUCUGAUUUUUGUUGCAUCCGUGUUUUGACCACCAGACAGGUUAUGGAGGCUCUGCUCCCAGGGGAGCCCCAGAUCAGAGGGUGGGGUGAGGGGAUCACAGGGAUCUCACAGGUCAGAGACACAGAAUGUGAGAGACACUGAGACCUGGGGGUCAGGACAGGAGAAGAGAGGUUUGGGGAGAAUCUGCUCCUCAAUCCACGACUGGUUGUCUCCCAGGUAUGUCCAGGAAGCCCUCCCUCCUGACCCAGCAGAGCCCCGUCGUGACCCCUGGACAGAGGCUGACCUUCCAGUGUCGCUCUGACGUCGGCUAUGACAGAUUCGCUCUGUACAAGGAGGCGGCACGUGACCUUCCCCAGCACCUUAGCCUGCAGCCCCAGGCUGGGCUCUCGGGGGCCGACUUCCCCCUGGGCCCAGUGAGCGGCUCCCACGGGGGCCGGUACACAUGCNGAGCCAGGCUCUGUGGUCCCCUGGGGUAGCGCUGUGAACAUCUGGUGUCAGGGGACCCUGGAGGCCCUGAAGCUCCAUGUGUAUAAAGAGGAAGGCUCAGUGUACCUGGACAGACAGCCCACACUAGAGCCUGGGAACAAGGCCAAGUUCUCCAUCACACACAUGACAGAUAGACAUGCAGGACGGUAUCGCUGUUCCUAUCGAAGCCCCGCUGGCUUGUCAGAGCGCAGUGACCCCCUGGAGCUGGUGGUGACAGGUGCGAGCCCCCUCAGGGUCCCCGCCCCAGGCUCUGCCCUCAGGGAGGGGGUCUCCUCCCAGCGUGUCUCCCCUCACAGUCCAGCCCUGGGGGUGUUGUGGGGGGUGGAAUCUAAGCCCCAUUUAACACGCCCCCUCCUCCUCUCCUAGGAUUCCAAAUCAAACCCCAUCUCUCAGCCCUGCCCAGACCCGUCGUGACCUCAGGAGGGAAGGUGACCCUCCAGUGCACCUCAUGGACGGCAUUCCAUAGGUUCGUCCUGAUGAGGGAAGGAGAACCCAGACCCGCCUGGACCCUCGACUCCCAGCGACACACCAGUGGGCAGUUCCAGGCCCUGUUUCCUGUGGGCCCUGUGACCCCCAGCACCAGGUGGACCUUCAGAUGCUAUGGCUAUUACAGCAACAUCCCCCACAUGUGGUCACUCUCCAGUGACCCCCUGGAGCUCCUGGUCUCAGGUGAGGGAAGCUGAUUUUUGUUGCAUCCGUGUUUUGACCACCAGACAAGUUAUGGAGGCUCUGCUCCCAGGGGAGCCCCAUCACAGGGUGGGGUGAGGGAGACACGGGAUCUCACAGGUCAGAGACACAGAAUGUGAGAGACACUGAGACCUGGGGGUCAGGACAGGAGAAGAGAGGUUUGGGGAGAAUCUGCUCCUCAAUCCACGACUGGUUGUCUCCCAGGUAUGUCCAGGAAGCCCUCCCUCCUGACCCAGCAGAGCCCCGUCGUGACCCCUGGACAGAGGCUGACCCUCCAGUGUCGCUCUGACGUCGGCUAUGACAGAUUCGCUCUGUACAAGGAGGCGGCACGUGACCUUCCCCAGCACCUUAGCCUGCAGCCCCAGGCUGGGCUCUCGGGGGCCGACUUCCCCCUGGGCCCAGUGAGCGGCUCCCACGGGGGCCGGUACACGUGCUAUGGUGGACACAACCUCUCCUCCGAGUGGUCGGCCCCCAGUGACCCCCUGGACAUCCUGGUCACAGGUGAGGGGACACGGGUUCAGUCAGGGCCCCCGACUCUGCACAGGCCCUGCUGGGGGUGUCCCAGGUGNUUUAUUUUUUAUUUAUUUUUAAAAUUUUUUUUCAACGUUUAUUUAUUUUUGGGACAGAGAGAGACAGAGCAUGAACGGGGGAGGGGCAGAGAGAGAGGGAGACAGAAUCAGAAACAGGCUCCAGGCUCUGAGCCGUCAGCACAGAGCCCGACGCGGGGCUCGAACUCACGGACCGCGAGAUCGUGACCUGGCUGAAGUCGGACGCUUAACCGACUGCGCCACCCAGGCGCCCCAAAAUGUUCAUUUUUUAAAACAUUAAUCACAUUUAUAAAUCCUAGUCAAAAUGGCCAAGAGUGGGGGGCACCCAUUAUCAUUUUCAGGAGGGCAUCACAUCCUACAGACUUUAAAUCAGUAAUAGAACAUGAUGAUCGAUUGUAUGCCAAUAUAUUAGAAAAUGUAGAUGAAAUGAACACAAUCCCCAAAAAUACAAGUUUCCAAAAUGAUGAAGGAUAAGUAGAAAAUAUGUAUCACCUUAUGUAUACAUUAAAUGCAUUGACUCUGUGAUCAAAAAUCACCCCCCAACUGAAGUGUGAGGAAACUGACAGAAAUGGAGAGCAGAAUGGUGGCUGUCAGGUCUGGGGGUGCAGAAAUGGUGAAGUGUUGGUCAAGAUUAUAGGUAUAAGAUUAAGAGAUAUAUAGUUAGUUCUAAGAUUAUACAUUCUGGGGAUCUAAUGUACAGCAUGGUGACCAUAGCUAUACUGUAUCAUCUUGAAUGUGGCAAAGAGAGUAGAUCUAAGAUGUUAUCAUAUAAAAAAGGCAGCUAUGUCAUGGGAUGGAAGUGUUAGCUAAUGCCAUAGUGAUAAUCAUCUUGUAAUAUAUACAUGUGUCCGUUGAGGAGGCUUCAUUGGCAAUUUCCUCCAAACACUUACAAAACACACACACACCAGAAUUACACAAGCCUUUCUUGAGAAAAAAAAAAAAAAAAAAGGAAGUAAUAUUUUAUCAGGCUAGGAAAAUAUUGACACCAAAGCCUGGAAAGGAAUUUAUAGAAUGGGAAAGGUACGGAACGAUGUCUCACAUAAACUUAGAUGUAAAUCUCUAAACGAAACAUUCACAAAUAAGAUUCAGCAGUAUAUAAAAAGGACAAUACAUCAUGACCAUACUGGAUUUUGCAGGGGAGAGGAAGAACAGAGUAGCUUAAAGUAUUAAAAAUCAAUCAAUAUAAUCCAAUACAUUAACAGAAUAAGUUAAAAAAAAUGACCAUCUCACAAACUAGUGGUUGCCAGAGGGGAAGAGGGUGGGGAUGGGUGAAGCAAAUGAAAGAGCUUAAAAGGCAUAAACUUUGAGCUAGAAAAUAAAUGAGCCACAGGGAUGAAAAAUACAGCAUAGGGAAUAUAGUCAAUAAUAUUGUAAUAAUUUUGUUUCUGACACUAAAUAACUACACUUCAUAUAGUGAGCAUUUCAUAAUGCAUGUAAUUGUUGAAUCACUAUACUGUUCACCUGAACCUAAUAUGUCAAUGUAGAUGAUUGUACUUUAGUUAAAAAUUUAAAAAAUGAAGAAAUCUCAACAGGUGCAGACAAAGCUUUUGAUAAAAUACACCAACAAUUCAUCAUGAAAAUAAAAACUCAUCAGAUAUAAAAGGUUGUUUCUUAGAACUUACAGAGGCAUAUUUAGCAAUCACCACUUAGCCAAUCAUUUUUAAAGGUGAGAACUUGAAGUCCUCUCUCUGAUUGGAAAUGAUGCAAGUAUGUUUCCUAUGACCAUUUGUAUUUAGCAUGGCAUUGAAUUUAUUUAAUUGGAGGUACUAACCAAUUAAAUGAAGCAAAACAAAGUGAUAAGCACUGAAAUGGAUAAGAAUAAUAAUUGUAUUGCUUCAAGAUUACACAGGUGUGUGCACAGAAGAUUAAAAAUAAUAUAAAGAUGUAUUAUCCAAAUUAAAAAGUUUCCUUGCCAUUUGCAGUGACGUGGAUGGAGUUAGAAUGCAUUAUGCUAAGUGAAAUAAGGCAAUCAGAGAAGACAAAUAUCAUAUGAUUUCCCUCAUAUGUGAAAUUUAAGAAAGAAAACAGAUGAACAUAUAGAAGUAGAAGGGGGAGAGAGAAGAGAGGGAAACAAACCAUAAAGACUCUAGAGAACAAACAGGGUUGAUGGAGGUGGGUGGGGGAUGGGCUAGAUGGGUGAUGGGUAUUAAGGAGGACACUUGUUGGGAUGACCACUGGGUGUUGUACGUAGGUGAUGAAUCACUAAAUUCUACUCCUGAAAACAAGAUUGCACUGUAUGUUAACUAAAAAAAAUUUUUUUUAAUUCCAGAUUUACUGGAUACAUGGUCAAUAUUUAGAAAUCAGUUGCAUUCAGAGUUCCAGUUCUGGAUGAAGAUAGAGUAGGUGGAUGCCCCCCUAUUUCUUUAUACCGGUGAGACUGAUUAUUUACUUCUGACCUCCAGAAUUAUAAUAAAUUUAUGUUAUCUUAAGAUACCAAGUUUGUGGUCAUUUAUGACAACAGCAAUUAGAAACUAAUACAACCACUUAAAUUUUCUUUUGAUUAAUGUUUGCAUAGUACAUUUUUCAUUCUUCUACUUUUUUAUGUUUUUAUUUAUUUUUUGAGAGAGAGAAAUAGAAUGUGAGUGGGGGAGGGACAGAGAGAGAGAAGGAAACACAGAAUCUGAAGCAGGCUCCAGGCUCUGCACUGUCAGCACAGACCACGAUGUGGGACUUGAACUCACAAACUGUGAAAUCAUGACCUGAGCUGAAGUUAGAUGCUCAACUAAUUGAGCCACCCAGGCACCCCUCUUCUACCUUUUCAUGUGGUUACAUUACAUAAAAUUCACCAUUUUAACCAUCACUAAAGCAUAUAAUUCAGUGGCAUGAAGUAUAUUUACCAUCUUAGACAAUCAUCACCACUAUCCAUUUCCAGAAAACUGUUAUUAUACCAAAUGGAAGCUCCCUACACAUUAAAUAAUUACUCCCAUGUCCCUUUGCCACCAGCCCUUGUCAAUCUCUGUUCCAAUUCCUAUGUCUGUGACUUUGUCUACUUAGUACAUCAAAGUGGAAUCAUACAAUAUGCGACUUUUUGUGUCUGGAUUUUUUACUUAGCACAAUGUUUUCAAGAUUCAUCCACAUUGUUCAUUCUUUUGCUUUUCACCCAUUUACACCAUUAUAUUUGAAGUGAAUUUCUUAUAGACUGCAAAUAGAGUUUUGCUUAUAGUUGUUUUUCUUUUUUUCAUCUUUAAUUAAUUUUUUUUAAAUUUACAUCCAAGUUAGUUAGCAUAUAGUGCAACAAUGAUUUCAGGAGUAGAUUCCUUAAUGCCUCUUACUCAUUUAGCCCAUCCCCCCAUCCCACAACCCCUCCAGUAACCCUCCUUUUGUUCUCCAUAUCUAAGAGUCUCUUAUGUUUUGUCCCUCUCCCAGUGUUUAUAUUGGGAAGCAAAACUAAUAUAGUUGUUUUUCUUAAGCCCAUCUUAAAAUCUUUGUCUUUUAAGUGUUGUAUUUAGAUCAUUUACUUAUAGUGUAAUUCCUGAUAAGAUUGUUAUUAGAUUUCCCAUUUUAUUUUUGUUUGUCCCCUCUUUUGUUUGUUCUUCUAUUUUUCCUCUUCUGCCUUUAAAAAUAUUUUAUUGACAUUUUAACAAUAUUUAUUCUUCUAAUCCAUGAUCAUGGAGUGUUUUUCCAUUUCUUUGUAUUUUCUUCAAUUUCCUUCAUAAGCUUUCUAUAGUUUUCAGCAUACAGAUCUUUUACAUCUUUGUUUAGGUUUAUUCCUAGGUAUUUUAUGGUUCUUAAUGCAAUUGUGAAUGAGAUCGGUUUCUUUAUUUCUCUUUCCGUUGCUUUAUUAUUGGUGUAUAAAAAUGCAACUGAUUUCUUUACAUUAAUUUUCUACCCUGCGACUUUGCUGAAUUCAUGUAUCAGUUCUAGCAGACUUUUGAUGGAGUCUGUCAGGUUUCCCAUGUGCAGUAUCAUGUCGUCUGCAAAAAGUGAAAGUUUGACUUCAUCUUUGCCAAUUUUGAUGCCUUUGAUUUCCUUUUCUUGUCUGUUUGCUGAUGCUAGCACUUCCAACAGUAUGUUAAGCAACAGCAGUGACAGUGGACAUCCCUGUCGUGUUCCUGAUCUCAGGGGGAAAGCUCUCAGUUUUUCCCCAUUGAGGAUGAUAUUAGCUGUGGGCUUUUCAUAAAUGGCUUUUAUGAUGUUCCUUCUAUGUUCCUUCUAUCUCGACUUUCUCGAAGGUUUUUAUUAAGAAAGGAUGCUGUAUUUUGUCAAAUGCUUUUUCUGCAUCGAUUGACAGGAUCAUAUGGUUCUUAUCUUUUCUUUUAUUAAUGUGAUGUAUCACAUUGAUUGAUGUGAGAAUAUUGAAGCAACCCUGCAGCCCAGAAAUGAAUCCCGCUUGAUCAUGGUGAAUAAUUCCUUUUAUAUGGUGUUGAAUUCGAUUUGCUAGUAUCUUGUUGAGAAUUUUUGCAUCCGUAUUCAUCAGGGAUAUUGGCCUGUAGUUCUCUUUCUUUGCUGGAUCUCUGUCUGGUUUGGGGAUCAAAGUAAUGCUGGCCUCAUAGUAUGAGUCUGGAAGCUUUCCUUCCCUUCCUAUUUUUUGGAACAGCCUGAGAAGGAUAGGUAUUAUCUCUGCUUUGUAGAAUUCCCCAGGGAAGCCAUCUGGUCCAGGACUUAUUUGUUGGGAGAUUUUUGAUAACUGAUUCCAUUUCUUCACUGGUUAUGCAUCUGUUCAAAUUUUCUAUUUCUUCCCUUUGAGUUUUGGAAGUGUGUGGCAUUCAAUGCAAUAGCAAUCAAAACUGCACCAGCAUUCUUCUCAAAGCUAGAACAAGCGAUCCUAAAAUUUGUAUGGAAUUACAAAAGACCCCGAAUAGCUAAAGUAUUAUUAAAUUUAAAAAGUUUUUAAUGUUUAUUUAUUUUUGCAGAGAGAGAGACAGACAGAGCAUGAGUGGGGGAGGGGCAGAGAGAGAGGGAGACACAGAAUCUGAAACAGGCCCCAGGCUCUGAGCUGUCAGCACAGAGCCUGAUGCUUGAACUCACAGACAGCGAGAUCAUGACCUGAGCCGAAGUCAGAUCCUCAACCAACUGAGCCACAUAGGUGCCCCACCAAAGUAAUAUUGAAGAAGAAAACCAAAGUGGGAGAAAUCACAAUCCCAGACUUUAGCCUCUACUACAAAGCUGUAAUCAUCAAGACAGUAUGGUGUUGGCACAAAAACAGACACAUAGACCAAUGGAAUAGAAUAGAGACCCCAGAAUUGGGCCCACAAAUAUAUGGCCAACUAAUCUUUGACAAAGCAGGAAAGAGUAUCCAAUGGAAAAAAGACAGUCUCUCUAACAAAUGGUGCUGGGAGAACUGGACAGCAACAUGCAGAAGAAUGAAACUAGACCACUUUCUUACACCAUUCACAAAAAUAAACUCAAAAUGGAUGAAAGACCUGAAUGUGAAACAGGAAACCAUUAAAACCGUAGAUGAGAAAGCAGGAAAAAACCUCUUUGACCUCAGCCGCAGCAAUUUCUUACUCGACACAUCUCCAAAGGCAAGGGAAUUAAAAGCAAAAAUGAACUAUUGGGACCUCAUCAAGAUAAAAAGCUUCUGUACUGCAGAGGAAAUAAUCAACAAAACCAGAAGGCAACCAACAGAAUGGGAAAAGAUAUUUGCAAAUGGCAUAUCGGAUAAAGGGUUAGUAUCCAAAAUCUAUAAGGAACUCACCAAACUCCACACCUUAAAAACAAAAAAUCCUGGCACAAAAACAGACACACAGACCAAUGGAAUAGAAUAGAAACCCCAGAACUAGACCCACAAACGUAUGGCCAACUCAUCUUUGACAAAGCAGGAAAGAACAUCCAAUGGAAAAAAGACAGCCUCUUUAACAAAUGGUGCUGGGAGAACUGGACAGCAACAUGCAGAAGAAUGAAACUAGACCACUUUCUUACACCAUUCACAAAAAUAAACUCAAAAUGGAUGAAAGACCUGAAUGUGAAACAGGAAACCAUUAAAACCGUAGAUGAGAAANNNNNNNNNNNNNNNNNNNNNNNNNNNNNNNNNNNNNNNNNNNNNNNNNNNNNNNNNNNNNNNNNNNNNNNNNNNNNNNNNNNNNNNNNNNNNNNNNNNNNNNNNNNNNNNNNNNNNNNNNNNNNNNNNNNNNNNNNNNNNNNNNNNNNNNNNNNNNNNNNNNNNNNNNNNNNNNNNNNNNNNNNNNNNNNNNNNNNNNNNNNNNNNNNNNNNNNNNNNNNNNNNNNNNNNNNNNNNNNNNNNNNNNNNNNNNNNNNNNNNNNNNNNNNNNNNNNNNNNNNNNNNNNNNNNNNNNNNNNNNNNNNNNNNNNNNNNNNNNNNNNNNNNNNNNNNNNNNNNNNNNNNNNNNNNNNNNNNNNNNNNNNNNNNNNNNNNNNNNNNNNNNNNNNNNNNNNNNNNNNNNNNNNNNNNNNNNNNNNNNNNNNNNNNNNNNNNNNNNNNNNNNNNNNNNNNNNNNNNNNNNNNNNNNNNNNNNNNNNNNNNNNNNNNNNNNNNNNNNNNNNNNNNNNNNNNNNNNNNNNNNNNNNNNNNNNNNNNNNNNNNNNNNNNNNNNNNNNNNNNNNNNNNNNNNNNNNNNNNNNNNNNNNNNNNNNNNNNNNNNNNNNNNNNNNNNNNNNNNNNNNNNNNNNNAGGAGUACUGAUGCAUAGGGGCACUUUUACCCCAAUGUUCAUAGCAGCACUUUCAACAAUAGCCAAAUUAUGGAAAGAGCCUAAAUGUCCAUCAACUGAUGAAUGGAUAAAGAAAUUGUGGUUUAUAUACACAAUGGAAUACUAUGUGGCAAUGAGAAAAAAUGAAAUAUGGCCCUUUGUAGCAACGUGGAUGGAACUGGAGAGUGUAAUGCUAAGUGAAAUAAGCCAUACAGAGAAAGACAGAUACCAUAUGGUUUCACUCUUAUGUGGAUCCUGAGAAACUUAACAGGAACCCAUGGGCCGGGGAAGGAAAAAAAAAAGAGGUUAGAGUGGGAGAGAGCCAAAGCAUAAGAGACUGUUAAAAACUGAGAACAAACUGAGGGUUGAUGGGGGGUGGGAGGGAGGGGAGGGUGGGUGAUGGGUAUUGAGGAGGGCACCUUUUGGGAUGAGCACUGGGUGUUGUAUGGAAACCAAUUUGUCAAUAAAUUUCAUAAAAAAAAAACAAAAAAAAAACAAAAAAUCCAGUGAAGAAAUGGACAGAAGGCAUGAAUAGACACUUUUCUAAAGAAGACAUCCAGAUGGCCAACAGACACAUGAAAAGAAGCUCAAUGUCACUCCUCAUCAGGGAAAUACAAAUCAAAACCACACUGAGAUAACACCUUACGCUGGUCAGAGUGGCUAAAAUGAACAAAUCAGGAGACCAUAGAUGUUGGUGAGGAUGUGGAGAAACAGGAACCCUCUUCCACAGUUGGUGGGAAUGCAAACUGGUUGCAGCUGCUCUGGAUAACAGUGUGGAGGUUCCUCAAAAAAUUAAAAAUAGAUCUACCCUAUGACCCAGCAAUAGCACUGCUAGGAAUUUACCCAAGGGAUACAGGAGUGCUGAUGCAUAGGGGCACUUCUACCCCAAUGUUUAUAGCAGCACUUUCAACAAUAGCCAAAUUAUGGGAAGAGCCCAAAUGCCCAUCAACUGACAAAUGGAUAAAGAAGAUGUGGUUUAUGUAUACAAUGGAAUACUACUUGGCAAUGAGAAAGAAUGAAAUCCGGCCAUUUGCGGCAAUGUGGAUGGAACUGGGGGGUAUUACGCUAAGUGAAAUAAGUCAGGCAGAGAAAGAUAGAUAACGUAUGUUUUCACUCAUAUGUGGAUCCUGAGAAACUUAACAGAAGACCAUGGAGGGAGGGGGAGGGGGGGAAAAUGUUACAGAGAGGGAAGGAGGCAAACCGUAAGAGACUCUUAAAUACUGAGAACAAAGCGAGAGUUGAUGGAGGGUGGGGGAGAGGGGAAAAUGGGUGAUGGGCAUUGAGGAGGGCACCUGUUGGGAUGAGCACUGGGUGUUGUAUGGAAACCAAUUUGACAAUAAAUUAUAUUUAAUAUAUAAAAAAGAAAGUAGGGGUAGAAGGAACAUACCUCCAGAUCAUAAAGGCCAUAUGCAAAAGACACGCAACUAAUAUCAUCCUCAAUGAGGAAAAACUGAGAAAUUUCCCACUAUGAACUCCACCACGAAAUAUCAAGACACAGAUGUCAUGGAUAUACUGUGCACACCAGCAGUCUCCUGUCUCCAUCUCUGCAAAAUUCCCAGCCAGUGUCCCCUUGGAUGGCUGCCCAAUAUCCUCCCCACUGCUCUCCUUCCAGAACUCACCAUAUCCACCAGACUCCCUCUUCCCCAAGUACUUCAGUCUGUGCAUUGCAUCUGACAAAGUGUCCUCAACAUUGUUUUCCAAUUUUAUAUUCUGCUCUUCAUCUGUGUCUUCUCAAUGAUGGUAAAAAUAGUUUGAGACUGUUCCAUCUAGUCUUUUUUUUUUUUUAAGUUAAAUUCAAGUUAAUUAACAUACAGUGCCAUUUUGGUUUCAGGAGAGGAACCCAGUGGUUCAUCUCUUACAUAUGACACCCAGUGCUCAUCCGAAAAGUGCCCUUCUUAAUACCCAUCACCCACUCAGCCCAUUACCCCACCCACCUCCCCUCCAGCAACCUUCAGUUUGUUCUUGGUUUUUAACAGUCUCAUGGUUUGCCUCCCUCUGUUUUUAUCUUGUUUUUCCUUCCCUUUUGCCAUGUUCAUCUGUUGUCUUUUUAAAAUUUCACACAUGAGUGAAAUUAUUUGAUAUCUGUCUUUCUCGGACUGACAUAAUUCACUUCGCGUAAUGCUCUCUAGUUCCAUCCACAUUGUGGCAAAUGGCAAGAUUUAAUUUUUUUUGUUCCCUGAGUAGUAUUCCAUUGAGUACAUCUUUAUCCAUUCUUCUGUCAGUGGAUAUUUGGACUCUUUCCAUACUUUGGCUAUUGUUGAUAGUACUGCUAGAAACAUUGGGGUACAUGUGCCCCUUUGAAUCAGCAUUUUUGUAUCCUUUGAUUAAAUACCUAUUAAUGCAAUUGCUGGGUUGUAGGGUAGUUCUAUUUUUAAUUUUUUGAGGAACCUCUACAUUGUUCUCCAGAGUGGCCACACUGGUUUGCAUUCCCGCCAGCAGUGCACCAGGGUUCCCUUUUCUCCACAUCCUCUACAACAUUUGUUAUUUCCUGAGUUGUUAAUUUUAGGCAUUCAGACAGGUGUGAGAUGGUAUCUCAUUGUAGUUUUGAUUUGUAUUUUCUUGAUGAUGAGUGAUGUUGAGCAUCUUUUCAUGUGUCUGUUGGCCAUCUGGAUGUCUUCUUUGGAGAAGUGUCUAUUCAUGUCUUCUGCCCAUUUCUUCACUGGAGUAUUUGUUUUUUGGGUGUUGAGUUUGAGAAGUUCUUUACAGAUUUUGGAUAUGAGCCAUUUAUCCAAUAUGUCAUUUGAGAAUUUCUUCUUCCAUUCUGUUGGUUGCCUUUUAGUUUUGUUGAUUGUUUGCUUUGCUGUGCAGAAGCUUUUUAUCUUGAUGAGGUCCCAAUAGUUCAUUUUUGCUUUUAUUUCCCUUGCCUCUGGAGAAAUGUUCAAUAAGAAGUGGCUGCAUCCUAGGUCAAAUAAGUUGCUGUCUAUUUUCUCCUGUAGAAUUUUGAUGGUUUCCUGUCUCACAUUUAGGUCUUUCAUCCAUUUUCAAUCUAUUUUUGUGUAUGGGGUAAGAAAGGGUCCAGGUUCAUUCUUCUGUACGUCGCUGUCCAGUUGUCCUAACACCAUUUGCUGAAGAAACUGUCUUUUUCCAUUGGAUAUUCUUUCCUGCUUUGUCAAAAUUAGUUGGCCAUAUACUUGUGGGUCCAUUUCUGAGCUCUCCAUUACAUUCCAUUGAUCUAUGUGUCUGUUUUUUUGUGCCAGUACCAUACUGUCUUGAUGAUUACAGCUUUGUAAUACAUCUUGAAGUCCAGAAUUGUGAUGCCUCCAGGUUUGGUUUUCUUUUUCAACAUUCCUUUGGCCAUUCAGAGUUUUUUCUGUUUCCACACAAAUUUUAGAACUCUUUAUUCUAGCUCUGUGAAGAAUGCUGGUAUUAUUUUGAUAGGGUUGCAUUAAAUGAGUAGAUUGCUUUGGGCAGUAUGAACAUUUUAACAAUAUUUGUUCUUCCAAUCCAUGAACAUGGAAUAAUUUUCUAUUUCUUUGUUUCCUCUUCAAUUUUUUCAUAAGCUUUCUAUAGUUAAGCAAACAGAUCUUUUUAUCUCUUUGCUUAGGUUCAUUUCUAGAUAUCUUAAGGGGUUUGGUGCAAUUUCUAAAUGGGAUCAAUUCCUUGAUAUCUCUUUUUGCUGCUUCAUUAUUGGUGUAAAGAAAUGCAGCUGAUUUCUGUAGAUUGAUUUUAUAUCCUGCACUUUGCAGAUGACAUGAUAGUCUUCAUGGAAAACCUGAAAGUCUCCACCAAAAACAGGUAGAGCUGAUCUAUAGGUUUUUACCUCCAACGUAUUCACUAAUGCAUUUCUAAAUUUAUGUAUCUUCUAUAAUAUAAUCUCUGUUAUGGCUUCAAAACUUCAGUUUUCUUCUCUUUCAGAUGUGUAACAUGGAUAACAUAAUGAGUUUCCUAUAUUCUUACUGUUCUAUAAUCUCAGCUAUGAUAAAUGACUUAUAGAGAGUCUGACGUCCAUUCAUAUUGUACACUCACCUCCACACACCUAUUUCCAGAGACAGUUGCUCCCAGGGCUGUCUUGAAGCUGUAAGGGGUGGAUAGUCAUGGAAACCUUGUCCUGUGGCCUCCACUCUCCCAACAUAGCAUCUGAUGAGGGAAAUUUGGACAGUGAUGGCUCCCAUGGGAGCCACACAUUCACACAUGCACUGACACCCAUGUGGGGCUCCAACGGAAGGAAGCGCUUUACACACAGACAGAGGGAACAUGGCUCAGUGCUGACCUUGGGCUGGAUCAGUGGGCAGAGACAUGUCAGGUCCCACUCCACACAUGGUGGAAGGUCAUGAAGCUUCCACAGUCACCCAGAAAGCACAUGCCCUUCCUGCCUGUGAACACCUGGCUGCCCCUCCUGGCCACACAGAGGCAGAAAUCAAAUUGGAUGACCCCCAGCUGGAUCCCAGGGACUGGUGGUCACUUGGCUUUGGCCUCUUUUUCUCUUGUGGUCCUGUCAAUUCUAGAAACGUUUGUUUCCCCUUUCUUGCAGUUGACGGAUGCCAGCUACGUCAGAAACAUCAUAAGUAGCAUUUCUCCACGUUAGAAGCAGAUGGGUUCUCUAGAGAGGGUGUAUCCCUGGUCCAACCUGACUGUGGGGCCCAACACCUGGUCCUCUCCUGUCCCAACCACACCCCUCUUAUUCAGGUUGGGAAACUAACAAUGAUUGAUUCUGCCAUGUUCCGGGUACCCCUGACCCCACACCCAUUAUGAGGAGUGGGGUUCAGGACAAAGUGCUACAGACCAGGUCCCUCUGCUAAGGUCUCAUGGGCAGCAGAUGAUGGAGUAAUAUUUACAUUAGAAUUAGCUUUGUCCCCCAGAUCAGGGCACUCACCCAUGCAUUGUCCCCUACAUCUUGCAUGCAGGGCCCCAGAAUGGGAAGGAGGACUCUGCCCCAGACAUAAGGGGCACUGAGAGACAGGAGGGACUCAUGGGCAUGUUCCCAGGAAGUGGAGGUGGAUGAUGACACAGGAAAAUAGAGAAGUCCAUGAAGGCUGUGACAGAAAGAAAGCCCACACUCUAAGGCCAGGAGAGGGCUGUGUUUCCUUCCCUAUUUCCCUGUAUUUCUCCUCUGUGUUCAUUGCCAUGGUGACCUUGACCUGAAUCAUGCAGAAAUGCCACAGGUAUGUCUGCACUGACAUGAGGCCACAGAAGAUCUAGAACCCUCAUCACCUACAGCAUCUCCGGAGCCUGGGAACCCCAUGUGUGGUGGCACCCCCAGGAUGUGGUGAGAAUGACGGAGAACCCAUAGGGGAGUCUCUGGGAGGGAAGGACGUGCCCUGGUCUCCUCACCUAGACAGGGCAUCUCAGGAAAACUCGGGGUCCACUUACUGCACCUUCAUGGACACCAGAGCCACCUCCUGGGGACAGGCUGUACUCCUUCCUGUGGGGCUGCUGACGUGACAACCCCAUGACCAGGCGGACCAGCCCCCAAGUGGCCACACCCUGUGCUUCUGUCUGUCCUGCGGGCACUGAGAUCCCUCCAUCUGCACAACCAGGGACAGAGGCAGGAGACACCAUGACCCCCACCCUCACAGCCCUGCUCCUCCUCGGUGAGAUCUCAGGAGGGGAGGGGACGCCCUAGUCUGGGAGGGACCCGCAGUCACAGCCAGGCCUUGGGGUUUCAGAGACCCCAGGCACAGGAGGCUCAUGGGGAGGAGGGGUUCUGCUCAGGAUUUGGGGCCAUCCUCUCACAGGAACUCUCUUCCAGGGCUGAGUGUGGGCCCCAGAACCCGAGGGCAGGCAGGUAAGUGUGUCCCUAGGGGUCCCUAGGAGCGUGUCCCCUCCUCACUGGAGACAGGGGUCACCCACCAGGCAGCUGCAAAUGGAGAACAGCAGUUCUGGGUGGAUGGAGAGGGGACGUCUGGGGCAUUGGGUCUGAGCUGAGAACUGGGGGUGGGGAAGGUCUUAUGACCGAGCCUCUGUUUCCUUCCAGGGACCCUCCCCAAACCCUCCAUCUGGGCUGAGCCAGGCUCUGUGGUCCUCCGGGGUAGUGCUGUGACCAUUUGGUGUCAGGGAAUCCUGGAGGCCCAAGUGUUCUUUCUGGUUAAAGAGGAACACUCAGGGUUCUGGGAUGUUCAUUUCCCAAAGAAGCCUGGGAACACGGCCAAGUUCUCCAUCACACACAUGACAGAUAGACAUGCAGGACAGUAUCACUGUUCCUAUCGAAGCCCCGCUGGCUUGUCAGAGCGCAGUGACCCCCUGGAGCUGGUGGUGACAGGUGCGAGCCCCCUCAGGGUCCCCGCCCCAGGCUCUGCCCUCAGGGAGGGGGUCUCCUCCCAGCGUGUCUCCCCUCAGAGUCCAGCCCUGGGGGUGUUGUGGGGGGUGGAAUCUGAGCCCCAUUUAACACGCCCCCUCCUCCUCUCCUAGGAUUCCAAAGCAAACCCCGUCUCUCAGCCCUGCCCAGCCCCGUCGUGACCUCAGGAGGGAAGGUGACCCUCCAGUGCACCUCAUGGAUGGGAUUCCAUAGGUUCGUCCUGAUGAGGGAAGGAGAACCCAGACCCGCCUGGACCCUGGACUCCCAGCGACCCACCAGUGGACAGUUCCAGGCCCUGUUUCCUGUGGGCCCUGUGACCCCCAGUGCCAGGUGGACGUUCAGAUGCCAUGGCUAUUUCAACAACACUCCCCAGUUGUGGUCAUACCCCAGUGACCCCCUAGAACUGCUGGUCUCAGGUGAGGGAGUCUGAUUUUUGUUGCAUCCGUGUUUUGACCACCAGACAGGUUAUGGAGGCUCUGCUCCCAGGGGAGCCCCAGAUCAGAGGGUGGGGGGAGGAGACACGGGGAUCUCACAGGUCAGAGAGACAGAAUGUGAGACACACUGAGACCUGGGGGCCAGGAUAGGGGAAGAGACGUUUGGGGAGAAUCUGCUCCUCAAUCCACAACUGGUUGUCUCGCAAGUGUGUCCAGGAAGCCCUCCCUCCUGACCCAGCAGAGCCCUUUCUUGACCCCUGGACAGAGGCUGACCUUCCAGUGUCGCCCUGAUGUUGGCUAUGACAGAUUCGCUCUGUACAAGGAGGCGGCACGUGACCUUCCCCAGCACCUUAGCCUGCAGCCCCAGGCUGGGCUCUCGGGGGCCGACUUCCCCCUGGGCCCAGUGAGCGGCUCCCACGGGGGCCGGUACACAUGCUAUGGUGGACACAACCUCUCCUCCGAGUGGUCGGCCCCCAGUGACCCCUGGACAUCCUGGUCACAGGUGAGGGGACACGGGUUCAGUCAGGGCCCCCGACUCUGCACAGGCCCUGCUGGGGGUGUCCCAGGUGUUGGUGGCUGGGGUCAGGGGUGUGGGGUCCCCAGGGAGGGAGAGAGACAGAGAGACAGGGGAUGGGGAAGGGGAGAGACUCAGAGGACAGACAGACAGACUCAGUUCAGAGCAAGGAUGGACAGCCCCUCACCUGCCUUCCUCUCUCCAGGACAGCUCCCCUCCACACCCUCCCUCUCAGUGCAGCCAGGACCCAUGGUGGCCUCAGGGGAGAAUGUGACCCUGCUGUGUCAGUCCUGGAGCUCUGUGGACACUUUCCUUCUGUCCAAGGAGGAGGCACCCGAUCCCCCCCUGCGUCUUAGAUCAGAGUACCGAGAUGGGCAUUACCAGGCCAAAUUCUCCAUGAAUCCUGUGACUUCAGCCCAGGGGGGGACCUACAGGUGCUACGGCUCAUACAGCACCUCCCCCUACCUGUUGUCACACCCAGUGACCCUGGAGCUCCAGGUCUCAGGUGAGGGGUCCCCAACCCUGUCCUUACUGACUCCAUCAGCUCAGGGCCCAACCCUCAGGAAAACCUGACAGUGACAAAUAAAGGGUUCAGGGGACUCCGUAGAGUAGGGUCCAGCCCAGGAGAGGUUGGAAAGAGCAGGGAUCUCCACCCAGGCUCCCCCAUCCUUCAGUCUCAGCAGAGAUGAGAGGUAGGGUGUGGGUGAGGGGUGGGUGAAGGAUCGUGAGUAGACAGAGGCCUCCUACUCUCUUCCUGAUGCCUCCAUAUCAGAAUCUGAACUGUGGUGUCAGGCCCCAUGGACUCUCCCCUAGAGGGAAGUCUCUAUACCUGUGGGCUCUGCUCUGCUGCCCCCUAUGCUUACCUGGGGGCCUCACUGCCACUGGGUGCACACCUGAUACCAGGUUCAAAGCUUUUCAACCUUAUUCGUAAAAAUGGUGUCAAUUCAUAGCUUGUUUUAAGAAUUGGUUAACUACUUUAAUACCACAAAGUAAGUUGUCUGAAUAAUAGUUAAGUAUGCCUAAGGGAGCUAUUGGUUUGGGCAUAUUUUUAUGUGCCGUUAACUCACUAUGCACUCUCUGACUUCCCAUUGCUGGUUUUUUUUUUUUCGUAAUUAAUUUAUUUAUUGGGGCACCUGGGUGGCUCAUUCAGUUGAGUGUCCAAAUUCAGCACAGGUCAUGAUCUCGCGGUCCGUGAGUUCGAGCCCCACAUUGGGCUCUGUGCUGAUGGCUCAGAGCCUGGAACGUGCUCUGGAUUCUGUCUCUCCCCCUCUCUCUGCCCCUCCCCUGCUUGCACUCUGUCUCUCCUUCUCUCUCAAAAAUAAAUAAACAUUAAAAAUAUUUUUUCAUUCAAGUUAGUUAACACACUAUGUAGUAUUGGCUUCAGUAGCAGAACCCAGUGAUGUAUCACUUAAAAUCAUUCUCUGUUUUUAUCUUAUUUUCCUUCCCUUCCCCUAUGUUCAUCUGUUGUCUGUCUUAAGUUUCACAUGUGAGUGAAAUUAUAUGAUAUUUGUUUUUCUCUGACUGACUUAUUUAGCCUUAGCAUAAUAACUCUAGCUUCAUCCACAUUGUUGCAAAUGGCAACAUUUUAUUCUUUUCCAUCACAGAGUAGUAUUCCGUGUGUGUGUGUGUGUGUGUGUGUGUGUGUGUGUGUAUGUAUCCUACACACACACAUACACACCACAUCUUCUUUAUCCAUUCAUCAGAAAAUGGACAUUGGGCUUUUUGCAUAAUUUGGCUAUUGUUGAUAGUGCUGCUAUAAACCUUGGAGUGCAUGUGCCCCUUUGAAUCAACAUUUUUCUAUUCUUUGGAUAACACCUACAAUUACAAUUUCUGGGUCUAACAUACUUCUAUUUUUAGUUUUUUGAGGACCCUCCAUACUGUUUUCCAGAGUGGGUACAACAGUUUGCAUUCCCACCAGCAGUGUAAAGGGUUCCCCCUUCUCCCCAUCCUGGCCAACAUCGGUUGUUUCCUGAGGUGUUAACAUUAGCAAUUCUGACAGGUGUGAGGUGGUUAUCAUUCUGGUUUUGAUUUAUAUUUCUCUGAAAUGAGAGAUGUUGAGGAUCUUUUCAUGUGUCUGUUAGCCAUCUGGAUGUCUUCUUUGGAAAAUUGCCUAUUCAUGGUUUCUGCCUAUUUCUUCACUGGAUUAUUUGGUUUCGUGGGAUUGAGUGCGAUGCGUUCUUUAUAGAUUUUAGAUACUAUUCUUUAUCUGAUAUAUCAUUUGAAAAUACUUCUCCCAGUCCAUUGGUUGCCUUUUAGUUUUGUUGACUGUUUCCUUCAUUGUACAGAAGCUUUUCAUCUUGAUGAGGUCCUUACAGUUCAUUUUUGUUUUCGUUUCCCUUGCCUCCAGACAUGUCUAGUAAGAAGUUGCUGCGGCGAAGGUCAAAGAGGCUACUUCCUGUGUUUUCCUCUGGGAUUUUGAUGGUUUCCUGUCUUAUCUUUAGGUCUUUUAUUCAUUUUGAAUUUAUUUAUCUGUAUGGUGUAAGAAAGUGGUCCAGUUUCAUUCUUCUGCAUGUAGCUGUCCAGUUUUCCCAGCACCAUUUGCUGAAAAGAGCAUCUCUUUUGCAUUGGAUACUCUUUCCUAUAUUGUUGAAGAUUAGUUGGCCAUAAAUGUGUCAGUCCAUUACUGGGUUCAACUGAUCUAUGUGUCUGUUUCUGUGCCGGUACCAUACUGUCUUGUUGAUUAUAGCUUUGUAGUACAGCUAGAAGUCCAGAAUUGUGAUGCCUCCUGCUUUGGUUUCUUUUUCAACAUUACUUUCAGUCUUUGCGGUCUGUAAUUUUUGUCUCUCUCUUUUUUUUUUUCUAUUUUGAUUUUCAUAUUAAAAUGAGGUAAUAGCUUUUCAUGAUUCCUUGUCUUUGUGUUCACUCGAUAUUAUAAUUCCACUGAACUUCUCUGUUCCUUGAAGUUGAAAACCAUACAUAGGGACUUCCUCAGUUUGACCCUGUGAGAUAGUGGGAGCAAAGUUUGUCUUUGACAAUGUAAAUAAAAUGAUUAGCUAUCCUUACUGGAAACAUCACCAGAUUUCUAGAGUUUGUCCCAAAACACCAAGAUGAUGAUGGAGCCUCCCAUUAUGGGCAUGCCUCCCUGAAUUGUCUCCAUUCACCAAGCCUGAGACCAGGUGUUCCUGUCGUCUUCCUGCCCCCAGGCCACAGUCAUGACUGAAGUUCUGUUGAGGAACAGACAGACCACACCUCUCUGUCUCUCCCUUUCUCUAGACAGGAAGAUCUACAUAUCCAUACAAAUACACGUGAUUAUGUAUUCAUUUAUCUAUAAUAUUUCUGUUAAUAUAAAUAUAUAUGGUUAUAUAUGUAUAUACAAAUGAUCUAUGAAUAUAACACACACACACACACACAUAUAUAUAUAUAUAUAUAUAUAUAUAUAUAUAUAUACAUACAUACACACAUACAGAUAUUCAUCUUCAUGGCCAUGCUCUUCAUUCAAUAGCUUUUCACAAUAGGAUCUCCCUGCCUAGACCCACACACAAGCAAGGAAUAAUGGUGUUUAUGUGACCCAGUAAAUGAACAUCACCUUUAGGAAAUACAUACUAAUGUGUUUUGUAUAGAUGUGUGCACCUAUCUAUGUGUAUAUCUAUCAACCAGUGUGGGCAUUUCUAAUUAUAUGAAAAAUGAAUUAAUGGAAGCACACGAGGAUGUAAAGUUCCAGGUACAGAUUAAAAUGCAGUCCCAGAAAGAUGGGAGCUGGCUGAGAUGGAGGGAAGGAGACCCUGCCCCGGAAUAUCCGGUCCCUCUGUGCUCCUAACCUUCAGGAGCCCCUGAUACCAACCCCUCAUCCAUGGAUGCUGGAUCCUUGGCUGUUGAAUAAAUGGGAACUCUCAGCUGUGGGGACAUGAGCACAUGGGGUUUUGUAUCCCAGACUGAACAGGGGACAUAUAAGGACACAAUUAUUUCUGUGUUGGGAGGAUAUUUUUCUCCCCAACCCUGAGCUCCUAGGGCACAGGUAGCAUCUACUCCAGAGUGACUCAUAAGCAAAGUCUGAAUUCAAAGAAGACAUGGAGAUGGAAGAAAUCCAAUGAGUAUGCCAAAGGAAACCCCAUUACUGCAGAGAAGGGGUUGUUCAGGAACUGUAUAAAAACUAUGUAAUGAGGAAUGAGGGAUAUAGAACACAGAGUCAGAAGACAGGCUGGACAGUGGUCUCAGGCUCCUGAGCAUCUGCUUCUAUUUUCCCCACAGUAGCAGCUGACACCAUCAGCCCACCCCAAAACAAGUCAGACCCCCACAUUGGUGAGUAGAAGAAAAUCUCAGUUUUGGGACUGGCAUGGAGGGUAAAGUCCUAUCAAGGGGAGGUGGGUGACUUUGGUGGGCAUCCAGAAUCUGGGGUGAUUUGGCUCUCCCCUGACCUCUGUAACCUUUUGGUCCUCAUUCCUAGCCUCCAACCCCAAAGAUUACACGCUGGAGAAUCUCAUCCGCAUGGGUGUGGCAGGCUUGGUCCUGGUGGUCCUCGGGAUUCUGCUAUUUCAGCCUCAACACAGCCACAGAAGAACCCCAGAUGCAACCAGGAGACAAACACAAUGAGAAAAUGGAGGCAACCCACCAUUCUGUGUGGCAGAGCUCUGGGAAUGAACCUAAUGGUCCAGGGGGUUCUGGAAGAAAAUCUGCAGCUUUGCCAGCAGAACUGUCUGCUGAGAAACU